This 559-nucleotide ribosomal RNA is filed under the name Hepatozoon sp. JPM-2014. RNAcentral's name for it is "bacterial SSU rRNA". It matches the Rfam family "Eukaryotic small subunit ribosomal RNA", at positions 357 to 909 of the family's 1831-position model. Lineage: Eukaryota; Apicomplexa; Hepatozoidae. The record is from RNAcentral.
GGUUAACGGGGGAUUAGGGUUCGAUUCCGGAGAGGGAGCCUGAGAAACGGCUACCACAUCUAAGGAAGGCAGCAGGCGCGCAAAUUACCCAAUUCUAACAGUUUGAGAGAGGUAGUAACAAGAAAUAACAAUACAAGGCAGUUAAAAUGCUUUGUAAUUGGAAUGAUAGAAAUUUAAACCCUUUUUAAAGUAUCAAUUGGAGGGCAAGUCUGGUGCCAGCAGCCGCGGUAAUUCCAGCUCCAAUAGCGUAUAUUAAAAUUGUUGCAGUUAAAAAGCUCGUAGUUGAAGUUCUGCUAAAAGUAACCGGUCUGCUUUUAAUAAAGGUGGUAUCUUGGUGUGUAUUUAGCAAUGAUGUCCUUUGAAGUGUUUUUUACUUUAUUGUAAUAAAGCAUAUUCAGGACUUUUACUUUGAGAAAAUUAGAGUGUUUCUAGCAGGCUAACGCUUUGAAUACUGCAGCAUGGAAUAAUAAGAUAGGAUUUUAGUUCUACAUUAUUGGUUUUAAGAGCUAAAUUAAUGAUUGAUAGGGACAGUUGGGGGCAUUUGUAUUUAACUGUCAGA